This is a non-coding RNA of Schistosoma mansoni, 46 nucleotides long. The record is from Rfam. NCBI's taxonomy places the organism in Eukaryota, Metazoa, Platyhelminthes, Trematoda, Strigeidida, Schistosomatidae.
GUACUGCUGAGGAGUUCCACAAUAGGACGAGACGGCCGUCCAGUUC